Long non-coding RNA from Lampris incognitus (smalleye Pacific opah), 244 nucleotides. RefSeq lists it as uncharacterized. The transcript has 3 exons. Lineage: Eukaryota; Metazoa; Chordata; Actinopteri; Lampriformes; Lampridae. The record is from RefSeq and is a predicted model, not a curated record.
AAAACCUGACGCGGACCUUGUUGACCCGGGCUGUGUCUGAGCCGCGUUGAUGAUAGCUGUGUCUGCAUCGGGGGCGUCCUCUGCUCCUUUGGCCUCGUGUGUUAAAUACGUCCCUGUUUGAACCACAGACAUGAGCUCUGCAGACUGGGUUCCCCGUGGGGCAAGUUUUGACUGACAGCAGACACCAGCAGCGAUGUGAUAGCGUUACUACUAAAGUAUCAGUGGCAUACAACAUGCAAUUUCC